This 477-nucleotide ribosomal RNA is filed under the name uncultured bacterium. Its description in RNAcentral is "partial 16S ribosomal RNA". It matches the Rfam family "Bacterial small subunit ribosomal RNA", at positions 357 to 826 of the family's 1533-position model. The record is from RNAcentral.
GGGAAUUUUCCACAAUGGACGCAAGUCUGAUGGAGCAACGCCGCGUGAGUGAAGAAGGUCUUCGGAUCGUAAAGCUCUGUUGUUGGUGAAGAAGGAUAGAGGCAGUAACUGGUCUUUAUUUGACGGUAAUCAACCAGAAAGUCACGGCUAACUACGUGCCAGCAGCCGCGGUAAUACGUAGGUGGCAAGCGUUGUCCGGAUUUAUUGGGCGUAAAGCGAGCGCAGGCGGAAUGAUAAGUCUGAUGUGAAAGCCCACGGCUCAACCGUGGAACUGCAUCGGAAACUGUCAUUCUUGAGUGCAGAAGAGGAGAGUGGAACUCCAUGUGUAGCGGUGGAAUGCGUAGAUAUAUGGAAGAACACCAGUGGCGAAGGCGGCUCUCUGGUCUGCAACUGACGCUGAGGCUCGAAAGCAUGGGUAGCGAACAGGAUUAGAUACCCUGGUAGUCCAUGCCGUAAACGAUGAGCGCUAGGUGUUGG